AUGAAUCCGCAGCGUUCCUGGGAGGCAGCAUUUGACGGGGGAACAGGAGGCAGAGAGAGCGCGGCUGCUCUUGUACUGGGGUCGCCUGCUGCUCUUGUCACUAAAGUACGCCCAGGAGCAGACCUGUGUGACUGGGCCAGGGUCCUUCCUUCCCAGCAGGGAGUCAUGUUCCAGAAGGGUCUGCAGGCCUGUGCUGCCCCUGGCAGAACCACGCAGGGCUCCCCGUGUUGGGGUGGGGUGCCCAUAGUACUGUCUGAGCUGCCCCACACCCACUGGGAGCCAAGGCUGGCAACCACUAGGAGCAGCCACCCUGGAAGUGGUGGUGCGCCCCAGCCCGCUGCCUGCGACCCGGCCACACAGCCUGGGAGCCUGCAGCAGGAAAAACAGAGUCGCUCCCCGCGCCAGGGGGCAGCCCCUUUCUCAGCAGACUCUACAUCAUCAGCCACAUGGAGGGGAGGAAGGAGGGCAGGAGGAAGCCGGAAGGCGAGGCGGGGGAGAGCCACUGGGGCGCAGUUUAAUAUUCUACGAGAACUGGCAUUUGAAUGGAGUCCUGCCAAUGGAGGAAGUCCCAGACUGAGCGGGCCUCCAUCCUGUUAUCACAAGUGUCCCAGCAGAGAAAACAGCAACGCUGCACAGCAUGCGCGCGCUCGGCGGGUCAAGAGUGCGGAGAGAUCUCCCUGCACUGCCUGCGCUAAGCAAGGAGGUGGGGGUGCGGAGAAAGGACCUGAUUGGCAGUGCGCCGCUUCCCAGUGCGCCGCCACUUGGGCACCCGGUGUGGGCGGCGGACCUUCUGCAUAUCCCACCUCUCAGUGGACGCCCUGCCAAGGCCACGUGCCUUUCCCAGGUCUCCCCUGGCAGGGCUUGGGGAGCAGGAAGGUGUGCUCCCUGGCUUCCAGCUCUGCUGAGUGUGCAUUUCCUAAUUACACGAUGCUCCCAGCUCGGGUUUCAGGAAGGAGAGUUCCAAAAAUGAAGCCUGGCUUUAGAACCAGAAAUGGUUUUUAA
RNAcentral lists this long non-coding RNA (1002 nucleotides) under Oryctolagus cuniculus (rabbit). RNAcentral's name for it is "lncRNA (ENSOCUG00000036981.1)". The record is from RNAcentral. Lineage: Eukaryota; Metazoa; Chordata; Mammalia; Lagomorpha; Leporidae.